RNAcentral lists this ribosomal RNA (219 nucleotides) under uncultured bacterium. RNAcentral describes it as "partial 16S ribosomal RNA". It matches the Rfam family "Bacterial small subunit ribosomal RNA", at positions 117 to 334 of the family's 1533-position model. The record is from RNAcentral.
UUGGGCAACCUGCCUCAUACAGAGGGAUAAUCAUGUGAAAACGUGACUAAUACCGCAUGUCGUUUCGGGAGGGCAUCCUCCUGAAAGAAAAGGAGCAAUCCGGUAUGAGAUGGGCCCGCAUCUGAUUAGCUAGUUGGUGAGAUAACAGCCCACCAAGGCGACGAUCAGUAGCCGACCUGAGAGGGUGAUCGGCCACAUUGGGACUGAGACACGGCCCAA